UAAGGAAUAUUGGUCAAUGGACGCAAGUCUGAACCAGCCAUGCCGCGUGAAGGAUGAAGGCCCUCUGGGUUGUAAACUUCUUUUAUCUGGGACGAAACCUCUUAUUCUUAAGAGACUGACGGUACCAGAGGAAUAAGCACCGGCUAACUCCGUGCCAGCAGCCGCGGUAAUACGGAGGGUGCAAGCGUUAUCCGGAUUCACUGGGUUUAAAGGGUGCGUAGGAGGGUUGGUAAGUCAGUGGUGAAAUCUCCGAGCUUAACUUGGAAACUGCCGUUGAUACUAUCAAUCUUGAAUAUCGUGGAGGUGAGCGGAAUAUGUCAUGUAGCGGUGAAAUGCUUAGAUAUGACAUAGAACACCAAUUGCGAAGGCAGCUCGUUACGCGAAUAUUGACUCUGAGGCACGAAAGCGUGGGGAUCAAA
RNAcentral lists this ribosomal RNA (419 nucleotides) under uncultured bacterium. Its description in RNAcentral is "bacterial SSU rRNA". It matches the Rfam family "Bacterial small subunit ribosomal RNA", at positions 355 to 772 of the family's 1533-position model. The record is from RNAcentral.